UACGUAGGGUGCAAGCGUUAAUCGGAAUUACUGGGCGUAAAGCGUGCGUAGGCGGUUGCGCAAGACAGGUGUGAAAUCCCCGGGCUUAACCUGGGAAUUGCACUUGUGACUGUGCGGCUUGAGUGCGGCAGAGGGGGAUGGAAUUCCGCGUGUAGCAGUGAAAUGCGUAGAUAUGCGGAGGAACACCGAUGGCGAAGGCAGUCCCCUGGGCCUGCACUGACGCUCAUGCACGAAAGCGUGGGGAGCAAACAGG
RNAcentral lists this ribosomal RNA (253 nucleotides) under uncultured bacterium. Its description in RNAcentral is "partial 16S ribosomal RNA". It matches the Rfam family "Bacterial small subunit ribosomal RNA", at positions 524 to 776 of the family's 1533-position model. The record is from RNAcentral.